Long non-coding RNA from Onychostoma macrolepis, 866 nucleotides. RefSeq lists it as uncharacterized. The record is from RefSeq and is a predicted model, not a curated record. NCBI's taxonomy places the organism in Eukaryota, Metazoa, Chordata, Actinopteri, Cypriniformes, Cyprinidae. The transcript has 4 exons.
GCCAUUUUUAAGUUAAUGUGCAAUAGGAGCCUAAAUAACGAAGUGAUAAGAAGAAGGAGAGCACGAUUUCCUCCAGUGCAGAAUUGUGACACAAAACGACUACAGUCAGACUAUCCACAUGCAGCAAGCCUGAAUGGAAAUUUGAGGAUCCUGGCAAGAAGUGAAGUGAUUUCAGAGACGUUCACAGGAAUACGGAAGCAGCCUUGAAACGCACAUGCUUCAAUGCAGAUGAGCUGCUGUUGUUGUAGAGUCUCGGUGUGAGGUACUGGCUGAUGAAUACUUUAUUCCAGAAGUGUUUUAAGGACAGUUUUGACAACGUUGUCAGCUGUCACAGCGUAACUGGACUUAAGGCGAUCAGAGCAACACUUAGACACCUCUCACAGCAUUGUAUUGUGUGUAUAUGUGUGUAAGUUUUGCCUACUCAGACAUCAAGGGACUUUUCUCUCCCGGCUGCUCAAGGACACACAGAAGUGCUUUUUUCCAGACGUGCUGUCACUUCAGUCAGGCUUCAGCUCUCAUCUUUCCGGUUGAAAGCAGCUGUAGCAGGAGAUGUGAGGGCAGGACUGCUCUCUGUCGUCAUAUUCACCAUGAGCCUCCCACAACCAUGAGCCUCUUUACUGUCACAAUCCUCCUGUGCAGAUCCACUCUGGGAUUUUGAAGCAUGUCCCUCAAACUGACUUCAUGCGUGGUUUGGAUGUCUUUCUUGAUCUUUGUGCUUAGCCUUAGAUAUCCAACAAAUACAAAAGCAUAAAAAUAGAAUGAGGCAAAGAUUUGCAAAUAAUGUUUCAAUAUUUUUUUUUCUUCUCUUUUUGUUAAGGUCAUAUAAAAUCAAAUUUCCUCAUUUUUUAGUUUUAAGAAAUAUUAAA